This 253-nucleotide ribosomal RNA is filed under the name uncultured bacterium. Its description in RNAcentral is "partial 16S ribosomal RNA". It matches the Rfam family "Bacterial small subunit ribosomal RNA", at positions 524 to 776 of the family's 1533-position model. The record is from RNAcentral.
UACGAAGGGGGCUAGCGUUGCUCGGAAUCACUGGGCGUAAAGCGCACGUAGGCGGAUUGCUAAGUCAGGGGUGAAAUCCUGGAGCUCAACUCCAGAACUGCCCUUGAUACUGGCGACCUCGAGUCCGGGAGAGGUGAGUGGAACUGCGAGUGUAGAGGCGAAAUUCGUAGAUAUUCGCAAGAACACCAGUGGCGAAGGCGGCUCACUGGCCCGGUACUGACGCUGAGGUGCGAAAGCGUGGGGAGCAAACAGG